GAGACUCUUCUAUAUUGUGCAAAUGCUGGGUGAGAUUCCAAGGUGAAAGCUGUCAGAUGCUGAUUACCUUGCAGCAGGCGAUAAGCUAUUCCGAGUUUUGCAGGAGGGCAGAGGGCCCGGGGCCGUGCAGCCGGCAGGUGGCAGCAGCUCGUUUCCAGCGGGGCCGGAGCGGUUCCCGGUGCGGGAUUGCACGCACUGAGAUCGUUACUUUCAGGAGGAUGCAGAGGAUCUCAGCAUUUCAUGCUGACAACAGGACAGAGAUGUGGACCCACCUGAGUGCACCUCCCUGGGCUGGGAUGGAACAGAGCAGCCCCACACUCACCAUGAAGAAGGAAAUGGGACCGGUGCUGCACUUUUUCCAGUUUCUGGCAGCCCCCUCUCAGGAGAGGCUCAGCAGAGAGGUACAAAGCUGCAACAGGAACAGAGGCACCAGGGGGCUGCUCAGCAGUUUGUUAUGA
Molecule: long non-coding RNA, 458 nt
Filed under: Phasianus colchicus (ring-necked pheasant)
Lineage: Eukaryota; Metazoa; Chordata; Aves; Galliformes; Phasianidae
Description: lncRNA (ENSPCLG00000004880.1)
Source: RNAcentral